AGUGGGGAAUCUUAGACAAUGGGCGCAAGCCUGAUCUAGCCAUGCCGCGUGAGUGAAGAAGGCCUUAGGGUCGUAAAGCUCUUUCGCCAGGGAUGAUAAUGACAGUACCUGGUAAAGAAACCCCGGCUAACUCCGUGCCAGCAGCCGCGGUAAUACGGAGGGGGUUAGCGUUGUUCGGAAUUACUGGGCGUAAAGCGCGCGUAGGCGGGCUGUUAAGUUAGGGGUGAAAUCCCGGGGCUCAACCCCGGAACUGCCUCUAAUACUGGCAGCCUUGAGUUCGAGAGAGGUGAGUGGAAUUCCGAGUGUAGAGGUGAAAUUCGUAGAUAUUCGGAGGAACACCAGUGGCGAAGGCGGCUCACUGGCUCGAUACUGACGCUGAGGUGCGAAAGUGUGGGGAGCAAACAGGAUUAGAUACCCUGGUAGUCCACACCGUAAACGAUGAAUGCCAGACGUCGGGUAGCAUGUUGCUCGGUGUCACACCUAACGGAUUAAGCAUUCCGCCUGGGGAGUACGGUCGCAAGAUUA
This 525-nucleotide ribosomal RNA is filed under the name uncultured bacterium. RNAcentral's name for it is "bacterial SSU rRNA". It matches the Rfam family "Bacterial small subunit ribosomal RNA", at positions 353 to 896 of the family's 1533-position model. The record is from RNAcentral.